UACGAAGGGUGCAAGCGUUACUCGGAAUUACUGGGCGUAAAGCGUGCGUAGGUGGUUCGUUAAGUCUGAUGUGAAAGCCCUGGGCUCAACCUGGGAAUGGCAUUGGAAACUGGCGAGCUAGAGUGCGGUAGAGGGCAGUGGAAUUCCCGGUGUAGCAGUGAAAUGCGUAGAGAUCGGGAGGAACAUCUGUGGCGCAGGCGACUGCCUGGACCAGCACUGACACUGAGGCACGAAAGCGUGGGGAGCAAACAGG
RNAcentral lists this ribosomal RNA (253 nucleotides) under uncultured bacterium. Its description in RNAcentral is "partial 16S ribosomal RNA". It matches the Rfam family "Bacterial small subunit ribosomal RNA", at positions 524 to 776 of the family's 1533-position model. The record is from RNAcentral.